CUAUUUAUUGAAUAAAUAUUUAUUUUCAUUAAAUACAAAAAUUUACGAAUUUAUUUCAAAUCGUGACUACUUAAUUCGUUUAAUCAGUGACUUCGGUAAUAGUUAUAUUCGAUGUUAUGCCUCUGAGGACGGUAUUACUGUGACAAUUAGUCGAUGGUUACAAAAGUAUUAUUGGACAUAACAUUAUCAAGAUAUCUAAUAAAUACAGCAUCUAUUGUUGUUCCGUAUCUGGUGAAUGUCCAAAUCUUGCUGCCAUCAGAACCAGAACUAAUCUUCCCAAGGACUUCAAUGAAUGUCUCAGCUCGAAAAGUGGAUGCUACAGGACGUUACUGUUCCUCAAAGAAGCUAAAUUAUUUAAUGACAUCUAAAAUUAUUAUUGUUGUGUAGUAUGUUAAUUUGUACUUCUCUAUUGUGGUCGUCAAUAACCUUGUAGUUACAAGGCGACCUUAAAUAAAUAAA
This is a long non-coding RNA of Cotesia glomerata, 459 nucleotides long. RefSeq lists it as uncharacterized. The record is from RefSeq and is a predicted model, not a curated record. The transcript has 2 exons. Lineage: Eukaryota; Metazoa; Arthropoda; Insecta; Hymenoptera; Braconidae.